Molecule: ribosomal RNA, 547 nt
Filed under: uncultured bacterium
Lineage: Bacteria
Description: partial 16S ribosomal RNA
Rfam family: Bacterial small subunit ribosomal RNA
Source: RNAcentral
CUAAGAAUAUUCCGCAAUGGACGGAAGUCUGACGGAGCGACGCCGCGUGGAUGACGAAGGCCGAAAGGUUGUAAAGUUCUUUUGCUGGGGAAGAAUAACCGCAGGAGGGAAUGCCUGUGGGAUGACAAGAACCGGCGAAUAAGCCCCGGCCAACUACGUGCCAGCAGCCGCGGUAACACGUAGGGGGCGAGCGUUGUUCGGAAUUACUGGGCGUAAAGGGCAUGUAGGCGGCUUGGAAAGCCUGGCGUGAAAGUCUGCAGCUUAACUGCAGGGGUGCGCUGGGAACUGCUGAGCUUGAGUGACGGAGAGGGAGCUGGAAUUCCUGGUGUAGGGGUGAAAUCUGUAGAUAUCAGGGAAGAACACCGAUGGCGAAGGCAAGCUCCUGGCCGAUGACUGACGCUGAGGUGCGAAAGUGUGGGGAUCAAACAGGAUUAGAUACCCUGGUAGUCCAUACAGUCAACGAUGUGCACUAGGUGCUGGGGCGGUAGCUUCGGUGCCGGAGCGAACGUGGUAAGUGCACCGCCUGGGGAGUAUGCUCGCAAGGGUG